UACGUAGGUGGCAAGCGUUAUCCGGAUUUAUUGGGCGUAAAGGGAACGCAGGCGGUCUUUUAAGUCUGAUGUGAAAGCCUUCGGCUUAACCGGAGUAGUGCAUUGGAAACUGGGAGACUUGAGUGCAGAAGAGGAGAGUGGAAUUCCAUGUGUAGCGGUGAAAUGCGUAGAUAUAUGGAAGAACACCAGUGGCGAAGGCGGCUCUCUGGUCUGCAACUGACGCUGAGGCUCGAAAGCAUGGGUAGCGAACAGG
RNAcentral lists this ribosomal RNA (253 nucleotides) under uncultured bacterium. RNAcentral's name for it is "partial 16S ribosomal RNA". It matches the Rfam family "Bacterial small subunit ribosomal RNA", at positions 524 to 776 of the family's 1533-position model. The record is from RNAcentral.